GUCUGUCUGGCCUUAAUUGGUGGCUGGGUGUUCUUAGACAGCAAGUUAGAUUAUGGUCUGGUAACCGACCGCUAUGAAAAAAAAAAAAAGUGAGGCAGAUCUACUGCAACAUAGUGUUAACAGGUUUUGAUGAAGUGUGGCAGGAGUAAUAGGCAUGUUUCUGGAAGCUUCAGAAAUUUUUGCUAAAAAAUGCUCUAAAAUGAGAAAUUUGGAGUUUUAGGAAGAAGUUGAAAUCUCUUGUCAGUCAUAAUUUCUUUAAAGAAUACUCCUCCACAGCUUUUACUUUGGAGACAAUUCCCCCCUCCCCCCCCCCCCCCCUUGAGUUCAUGACUUUGCAAGCUUCUGUGAUGCACUGGCAUGCUUCCUGACACCAACUAACCCUUUCUGCUUUGAUUCAUUAGGACUUGCUUCCCUUCAGAGCUGCCAAUGAGAGAAGAUGACAGUUCCUGAAGCCUCUUGGAGCAGGAACACGGAUCUGACCACAAAAGGGUGUGACAGCAGGGCAAGGCUGUAGCCAUGGGGUUGCAGAAUCCAGUCCCUGGAAAACGGAUUGGCAGAAGGAUACUGACAGUGCGAGUCCCACCUUGCUGCUGCAGGACAGAACGAUUCAUUGUGGUGGUCCCCAGUGCGCAUGCAUACUAACAGACAUACACAUGCAAUUGGCGGUUCUUUUUAACUGUGGUUAACUGAAUGUCAGUAUACAAUAAGCAAUUACUGACAAGUUAGUGUUUGGAACUCUUUAUUAUUUAUGUGAUCUAACUUAAGUAGCCCUGCUUGGAGGAAAUUGGAAAGAGUGGACUAGAGGGAUCCUCAGAGUUCCUUUCCAAUCUGGUUGCUUCUACAGGUCUGUGAUUCUCUGAAAGGUGAAUUGGUUUUAUUUUCAUCUGAAAUGUAGUCGUCAGUGUACUAUAUGUGAUAUUUCCAUAAGAAUACUUACUUGGUAUAUGCUAUUGAGACACCAUUGUAAUAUAAGAAUAAUAUUUGACGUGCACUUGAGUUAGUAUAUUUCAGUACAAACUUAGUGGUUUAGAAAUUACUUUAUUUGCAAAAAUGAUAGAAAACAUAUUAUUCUUGGAAAAGUUUGGAGCUAAAAAUUCAUUGAACUGCUAUCAAAUUGCAUUAGGUAUUUGCUGACCUGAAACAAACAAACAAACAAACAAACAAAAAACCUA
Molecule: long non-coding RNA, 1172 nt
Filed under: Coturnix japonica (Japanese quail)
Lineage: Eukaryota; Metazoa; Chordata; Aves; Galliformes; Phasianidae
Description: lncRNA (ENSCJPG00005008063.1)
Source: RNAcentral